UGGUGCGUGAUGAUUAUAAAAGAUAAUUCCUCGUUCUGAAUGCUAUAAUUGCAUGACAGACUCUUUAUACACCCAUAGAAUAUGAGCGCUC
Small nucleolar RNA from Impatiens glandulifera, 91 nucleotides. RefSeq annotates it as small nucleolar RNA snoR8a. Lineage: Eukaryota; Viridiplantae; Streptophyta; Magnoliopsida; Ericales; Balsaminaceae. The record is from RefSeq and is a predicted model, not a curated record. The transcript has a single exon.